GGGCCGUUAGCUCAGUUGGUUAGAGCAGAGGACUUGACGGGGAGGUUCCUGUCCCCAGGCGACGGCCUGGGAAUGGAGCGGCACCCAAUGGGUUGCUCAAGGUAAGUUCACUCUGCCUUGAAGUAGAACUUCUCAAAUUCGGUGAACGCUACUGCGCGUCUGCGCGCUAUGCCAACGCCGAGCGAAGCCCUCCGCAAGGAGGGAACGUGUAGAGACUCGACGGGAAGGCCGAAAGGCAAGACAGAGUCCAGGCCACGAACCGGAAACGGGCGGCGAAAGCCGAAGUGGCACGCAUAAUCCUUUGGUCGCUGGUUCGAGCCCAGCACGGCCUACCA
This 335-nucleotide transfer RNA is filed under the name Paracidovorax citrulli AAC00-1. Its description in RNAcentral is "tRNA-Und (NNN) (tRNA-Und-NNN-1-1)". The record is from RNAcentral. Lineage: Bacteria; Pseudomonadati; Pseudomonadota; Betaproteobacteria; Burkholderiales; Comamonadaceae.